RNAcentral lists this ribosomal RNA (667 nucleotides) under uncultured Fusobacteriota bacterium. RNAcentral describes it as "bacterial SSU rRNA". It matches the Rfam family "Bacterial small subunit ribosomal RNA", at positions 49 to 743 of the family's 1533-position model. The record is from RNAcentral. Lineage: Bacteria; Fusobacteriati; Fusobacteriota.
UAACACAUGCAAGUCAACUUGAACUUCGGUUUGGGUGGCGGACGGGUGAGUAACGCGUAAAGAACUUGCCUCACAGAUAGGGACAACAUUUGGAAACGAAUGCUAAUACCUGAUAUUAUGAUUAUAGGGCAUCGUAGGAUUAUGAAAGCUAUAUGCGCUGUGAGAGAGCUUUGCGUCCCAUUAGCUAGUUGGAGAGGUAACGGCUCACCAAGGCGAUGAUGGGUAGCCGGCCUGAGAGGGUGAUCGGCCACAAGGGGACUGAGACACGGCCCUUACUCCUACGGGAGGCAGCAGUGGGGAAUAUUGGACAAUGGACCAAGAGUCUGAUCCAGCAAUUCUGUGUGCACGAUGAAGUUUUUCGGAAUGUAAAGUGCUUUCAGUUGGGAAGAAAAAAAUGACGGUACCAACAGAAGAAGUGACGGCUAAAUACGUGCCAGCAGCCGCGGUAAUACGUAUGUCACAAGCGUUAUCCGGAUUUAUUGGGCGUAAAGCGCGUCUAGGUGGUUAUGUAAGUCUGAUGUGAAAAUGCAGGGCUCAACUCUGUAUUGCGUUGGAAACUGUGUAACUAGAGUACUGGAGAGGUAAGCGGAACUACAAGUGUAGAGGUGAAUUCGUAGAUAUUUGUAGGAAUGCCGAUGGGGAAGCCAGCUUACUGGACAGAUACUGA